AGAAAGCGUAAUAGCUCACUGGUCUAAUGAUACCGCGCCGAAAAUUUAACGGGGCUAAGCAUAGUACCGAAGCUACGGAUUCGAUAAGCUGAUUUAAGUUUAUUAAUACACGCACGACGGGAGUUAGAUUAAGCGAGCGGUUUUUGCUCGCAAAAUUCCCCUCCUGCUAAGCACUGUUGCAAUGAAGCACAUUGGUUUUGUGCUUGCAGAGCACAAGGCGACUUAUUAGUCGACUUAAAUCAGCUUAUCGAAUGGUAGGAGAACAUUGUGGCCGCCUGUGAAGGUACACCGAAAGGAGUGCUGGAGGUUCCACAAGAGCUUAUGUUGACACGAGUAGCGAAAAACAAGGUGAGAAACCUUG
Molecule: ribosomal RNA, 361 nt
Filed under: Desulfopila sp. IMCC35006
Lineage: Bacteria; Pseudomonadati; Thermodesulfobacteriota; Desulfobulbia; Desulfobulbales; Desulfocapsaceae
Description: Bacterial large subunit ribosomal RNA
Rfam family: Bacterial large subunit ribosomal RNA
Source: Rfam by way of RNAcentral